GACGAACGCUGGCGGCGUGCUUAACACAUGCAAGUCGAACGGAAAGGCCUUUUCGGAGGUACUCGAGUGGCGAACGGGUGAGUAACACGUGGGUGAUCUGCCCUGCACUCUGGGAUAAGCCUGGGAAACUGGGUCUAAUACCGGAUAGGACCGCACUUUAGUGUGUGUGGUGGAAAGUUUUUUCGGUGUAGGAUGAGCCCGCGGCCUAUCAGCUUGUUGGUGGGGUAAUGGCCUACCAAGGCGGCGACGGGUAGCCGGACUGAGAGGUUGGUCGGCCACAUUGGGACUGAGAUACGGCCCAGACUCCUACGGGAGGCAGCAGUGGAGAAUAUUGCACAAUGGGCGCAAGCCUGAUGCAGCGACGCCGCGUGGGGGAUGACGGCCUUCGGGUUGUAAACUCCUUUCGCCAGGGACGAAGCGUUUUGUGACGGUACCUGGAGAAGAAGCACCGGCUAACUACGUG
Molecule: ribosomal RNA, 463 nt
Filed under: uncultured bacterium
Lineage: Bacteria
Description: partial 16S ribosomal RNA
Rfam family: Bacterial small subunit ribosomal RNA
Source: RNAcentral